CACCAUCACCACCACCAAUGACAAUGACAUCACAGCUCCGACCUCACGAUCACCACCACCAAUGACGAUGCUACAGCCCUGACCUCACCAUCACCACCACCAAUGAUGACACUAUAGCCCUGACCUUACCAUCACCACCGCCAAUGACAAUGACAUCCCAGCCCCGACCUCACCAUCACCACCACCAAUGACAAUGACAUCACAGCCCCGACCUCACCAUCACCACCACCAAUGACGAUGCUACAGCCCCGACCUCACCAUCACCACCACCAAUGACAACGACAUAACAGCCCUGACCUCACCAUCACCACCAAUGACAACGACAUCACAGCCCCGACCUCACCAUCACCACCAAUGACAAUGACAUCACAGCCCCGACCUCACCAUCACUACCACCAAUGACAACGACAUCACAGCCCCAACCUCACCAUUACCACCACCAACAACAGACAUCAUGGCCCACAGGUGGCCAAACCCUUCAAUCACCUGCAAACCAGUGACCCUCACUUUUGCUUCUGAGACUUAUAAAAGCAAAAACAAAAAAACAGAUUCUCAAACCCAAACCGUGGCAAUUCUGGUUCAGCAGGUGUUAG
Molecule: long non-coding RNA, 593 nt
Filed under: Pan troglodytes (chimpanzee)
Lineage: Eukaryota; Metazoa; Chordata; Mammalia; Primates; Hominidae
Description: long non-coding RNA NONPTRT009904
Source: RNAcentral